RNAcentral lists this small nuclear RNA (153 nucleotides) under Crocodylus porosus (Australian saltwater crocodile). RNAcentral describes it as "U1 spliceosomal RNA (ENSCPRG00005007945.1)". It matches the Rfam family "U1 spliceosomal RNA". From Rfam's summary of the family: U1 is a small nuclear RNA (snRNA) component of the spliceosome (involved in pre-mRNA splicing). Lineage: Eukaryota; Metazoa; Chordata; Crocodylia; Crocodylidae. The record is from RNAcentral.
UAGGUUACCUGGCAGGGUAGAUACCAUGAUCACCAAGGGUGAGACCUGUCCAUUGCAUUCUUGGUGGGCUGACCCCUGAGAGUUUUCCCGAAUGUGGGACACUCGACUGCACAAUUCUGUAGCAAUGGGGGAUUACAUUCAUGCUUCCCUCAU